CUUGGCUUGGCAGUGGUCGCUUGGCUUGGCGUGGCAGUGAUCGCUUGGCUUGGCAUUUCUGGCUUAGCGGUCCUCCUUUCGCAGAUUGGAAACCGCGGGCUAUCCUGCUGGGAGGUUGUGGCCGAGGCAGUAGCUCGCUACUGAUGGUCUCCUGGGGUGGAGAAAAGCGGGGAGGGGCUGAGGGGUCUCCGAAGCCGGCAGUCUACGCCACGAGGAAAACCGGUAGCGUCAGGAGCCAGGAGGACCAGUGGUACUUGGGCUACCCGGGGGACCAGUGGUCCUCGGGCUUCUCCUACAGCUGGUGGAAAAACAGCGUCGGCAGCGAGAGCAAGCACGGUGAGGGCGCCUUAGACCAGCCCCAGCACGAUGUCCGCCUGGAAGAUCUUGGCGAGCUCCACAGAGCUGCCCGGUCGGGCGACGUCCCUGGGGUGGAGCACGUCUUGGUUCCUGGAGACACUGGCGUGGACAAGAGGGAUAGGAAGAAGAGCAUUCAGCAACUAGUUCCUGAAUAUAAGGAAAAACAGACACCUGAAAGUCUUCCUCAAAAUAACAAUCCAGAUUGGCAUCCUACUAAUUUGACCCUUAGUGAUGAGACUUGUCAGAGAUCCAAGAAUCUGAAAGUUGAUGAUAAAUGUCCAUCUGUAUCACCAUCAAUGCCUGAAAAUCAGUCAGCAACCAAAGAACUGGGACAGAUGAACUUAACAGAACGAGAAAAGAUGGACACUGGGGUUGUACUUCUCUCAGGGAAUGAUACUCUCCAUGACCUGUGCCAAUCACAGCUACCAGAAAACAAAGAGAGCAAAGAAGCAGAACAAGACUUGGAGCUGACAUCAGAGGAAGAGCAAGAAAGACUUAAAGGAUGCGAAAAUAAGCAGCCACAAAAAACGUCUCAAGAACCAGAAAUGGCUAAGGAUUGUGAUAGAGAGGAUAUACCUAUAUAUCCAGUACUUCCUCAUGUGCAAAAAUCUGAGGAAAUGCGGAUUGAACAAGGCAAAUUAGAGUGGAAAAACCAAUUAAAACUCGUCAUAAAUGAGUUAAAGCAGAGGUUUGGUGAAAUUUAUGAAAAAUACAAAAUUCCGGCUUGUCCUGAGGAAGAGCCACUACUUGAUAACUCUACAAGAGGAACAGAUGUGAAGGAUAUUCCCUUUAAUUUGACAAAUAACAUACCUGGUUGUGAGGAAGAAGAUGCAUCUGAAAUAUCUGUCUCAGUGGUAUUCGAGACAUUUCCUGAACAAAAAGAACCCAGUCUCAAAAAUAUCAUCCAUUCAUACUACCAUCCGUACUCUGGGUCCCAGGAACAUGUUUGCCAGUCAUCUUCUAAGCUUCAUUUACAUGAAAAUAAAUUAGACUGCGACAAUGAUAACAAACCAGGCAUUGGACAUAUUUUUAGUACAGAUAAGAACUUUCAUAAUGAUGCAAGCACUAAGAAAGCAAGGAACCCAGAAGUGGUUACGGUUGAAAUGAAAGAAGACCAAGAGUUUGAUUUGCAAAUGACAAAAAAUAUGAACCAAAAUAGUGACAGUGGCAGUACAAAUAACUAUAAAAGCCUGAAACCUAAAUUAGAAAAUCUGAGUUCUUUACCACCAGAUUCUGACAGAACAUCAGAAGUAUAUCUACAUGAAGAAUUACAGCAAGACAUGCAAAAGUUUAAGAAUGAGGUCAACACAUUAGAAGAAGAGUUCCUGGCUUUGAAGAAAGAAAAUGUUCAACUUCAUAAAGAGGUUGAAGAAGAAAUGGAGAAGCACAGAAGUAAUAGCACAGAAUUAUCAGGAACCCUAACUGAUGGUACUACUGUUGGCAAUGAUGAUGAUGGACUAAAUCAGCAGAUUCCUAGGAAGGAAAAUGGAGAGCAUGACAGGCCUGCAGAUAAAACAUCUAAUGAAAAGAACGAGGUCAAAAACCAAAUAUAUCCUGAGGCUGACUUUGCUGACUCAAUGGAGCCAUCUGAAAUAGCCUCGGAGGAUUGUGAAUUGUCUCACUCUGUUUAUGAGAAUUUUAUGUUGCUGAUUGAACAACUUAGAAUGGAGUAUAAAGAUUCUGCUAGCCUACCAAGAAUCCAAGAAAGACACAUUUUGUUUGUGUGAACACUUACUGAAACUUAAGAAUAAUCACUGUGACCAACUUACAGUAAAACUUAAACAAAUGGAAAAUAUGGUCAGUGUACUACAAAAUGAGCUAUCUGAAACAAAAAAGACAAAAUUACAGUUAGAACUUCAAAAAAUUGAAUGGGAGAAAGAGCUGUACGAUUUGAGACUUGCCUUAAAACAAGAAAAUGAGGAGAAAAGAAAUGCCGAUAUGUUGUAUAAUAAAGAUAGUGAACAGUUAAGAAUAAAAGAAGAGGAGUGUGGGAAAGUGGUUGAAACAAAGCAACAACUUAAAUGGAAUCUGAGAAGACUUGUUAAGGAAUUGAGGACAGUAAGAAAUAACUUGGAUCUGGUUGUGCAGGAGAGAAACGAUGCCCAGAAGCAACUUUCUGAAGAACAGGAUGCCAGAAUAUUACAAGAUCAGAUUCUGACGAGUAAACAAAAGGAACUAGAAAUGGCUCAGAAGAAAAGGAAUCCUGAGAUUUCUCAUAGGCAUCAGAAAGAAAAGGAUCUCUUUCAUGAAAAUUGCAUGUUGCAGGAAGAAAUUGCCUUGCUGAGACUGGAAAUAGAUACAAUAAAAAAUCAGAACAAGCAAAAGGAAAAGAAAUAUUUUGAGGACAUUGAGGUUGUGAAAGAAAAGAAUGAUAACCUUCAAAAAAUUAUAAAACGAAAUGAGGAAACAUUAACAGAAACAAUACUCCAGUACAGUGGACAGCUGAACAAUCUGACAGCUGAGAACAAAAUGCUCAAUUCUGAACUGGAGAAUGGGAAAGAGAACCAAGAAAGACUAGAAAUAGAAAUGGAAUCAUACCGUUGUAGACUGGCUGCUGCUGUACAUGACUGUGAUCAAAGUCAGACAGCAAGAGACCUAAAACUUGAUUUCCAGAGAACAAGACAAGAGUGGGUUCGUUUACAUGACAAAAUGAAGGUUGAUAUGUCUGGCCUACAAGCUAAGAAUGAGAUUCUUUCUGAAAAACUUUCUAAUGCUGAAAGUAAAAUUAACAGCCUACAAAUUCAGCUCCAUAACACAAGAGAUGCUCUUGGAAGAGAGAGUUUGAUUUUGGAACGUGUGCAAAGAGACCUCAGCCAAACACAGUGUCAGAAGAAAGAAACUGAACAAAUGUACCAAAGCAAACUGAAGAAAUACAUUGCCAAGCAGGAAUCUGUAGAGGAGAGAUUAUCUCAACUACAAAGUGAAAAUAUGUUGCUUCGACAGCAACUGGAUGAUGUUCACAAGAAAGCUAACAGUCAAGAAAAGACAAUCAGUACUAUCCAAGACCAGUUUCAUUCUGCUGCCAAAAAUCUUCAAGCUGAGAGUGAAAAGCAGAUUCUUUCACUACAAGAGAAGAACAAGGAGCUGAUGGAUGAAUAUAAUCAUUUAAAAGAAAGAAUGGAUCAAUGUGAGAAAGAGAAAGCAGGAAGAAAAAUUGACCUUACAGAAGCACAGGAAACUGUACCUUCACGAUGUCUACAUCUGGAUGCAGAGAAUGAAGUUCUUCAACUUCAACAGACAUUAUUCUCUAUGAAAGCAAUACAAAAGCAAUGUGAAACACUACAGAAGAAUAAGAAGCAGCUGAAACAAGAAGUAGUAAACCUCAAAAGUUAUAUGGAAAGAAAUAUGUUAGAACGUGGUGAAGCUGAAUGGCAUAAACUGUUGAUUGAAGAAAGAGCAAGGAAGGAGAUAGAAGAAAAAUUAAACGAAGCCAUUCUCACCUUGCAGAAACAAGCAGCAGUAUCUCAUGAACAGUUAGCACAGUUAAGGGAGGAUAAUACUACUUCAAUAAAAACUCAGAUGGAACUCACAGUCAUAGAUCUGGAAUCUGAAAUCUCCAGAAUAAAAACUUCGCAAGCCGACUUUAAUAAAACCAAAUUGGAAAGAUAUAAGGAACUCUACCUAGAAGAAGUGAAAGUUAGAGAAUCCUUGUCAAAUGAACUCAGUAGAUGCAGCAGAAGUUGCAAAAUGACCUAACUGCAGAAGUAGCAGCUGCUACUAAAUAUGAACCUGGAUCCUAUAUAGCUUCUCCUCUAGGAUUUACACACAAGGAAAAUCUGAAUCAAGAUCCAGUUUUGGAAGUAGCAAAAGAAUAUGCACAGAUUUUAAGAAGAAAAUACAUACUCUG
RNA transcript from Homo sapiens (human), 4204 nucleotides. It is a transcript of the gene named coiled-coil domain containing 144C, pseudogene, with no coding region annotated. The record is from RefSeq and is marked provisional. The transcript has 16 exons. NCBI's taxonomy places the organism in Eukaryota, Metazoa, Chordata, Mammalia, Primates, Hominidae.